UACGUAGGGUGCAAGCGUUGUCCGGAAUUAUUGGGCGUAAAGAGCUUGUAGGCGGUUUGUCGCGUCUGCUGUGAAAUUUCGGGGCUCAACCCCGAACUUGCAGUGGGUACGGGCAGGCUAGAGUGUGGUAGGGGAGACUGGAAUUCCUGGUGUAGCGGUGAAAUGCGCAGAUAUCAGGAGGAACACCGAUGGCGAAGGCAGGUCUCUGGGCCACAACUGACGCUGAGGAGCGAAAGCGUGGGGAGCGAACAGG
This 253-nucleotide ribosomal RNA is filed under the name uncultured bacterium. Its description in RNAcentral is "partial 16S ribosomal RNA". It matches the Rfam family "Bacterial small subunit ribosomal RNA", at positions 524 to 776 of the family's 1533-position model. The record is from RNAcentral.